Molecule: ribosomal RNA, 585 nt
Filed under: Blastocystis sp. subtype 5
Lineage: Eukaryota; Bigyra; Opalinata; Blastocystidae
Description: SSU rRNA
Rfam family: Eukaryotic small subunit ribosomal RNA
Source: RNAcentral
AUCUGGUUGAUCCUGCCAGUAGUCAUACGCUCGUCUCAAAGAUUAAGCCAUGCAUGUGUAAGUAUAAAUAAUUCUACUUUGAAACUGCGAAUGGCUCAUUAUAUCAGUUAUAGUUUAUUAGAAGUAAUUUACUACUUGGAUAACCGUAGUAAUUCUAGGGCUAAUACAUGAGUAAAUCCUCGACUUUGAAGAGGUGUGUUUAUUAGUAUGAAAACCAUAUGCUUUUGCAUAAUAGUGAGUAAUAAUAACCUUUCAUAUCGUAUGUUGUAAUAACGAUAGUUCUUUCAAGUUUCUGCCCCAUCAGCUUUCGAUGGUAGUGCAUUGGACUACCAUGGCAGUAACGGGUAACGAAGAAUUUGGGUUCGAUUUCGGAGAGGGAGCCUGAGAGAUGGCUACCACAUCCAAGGAAGGCAGCAGGCGCGUAAAUUACCCAAUCCUGACAUAGGGAGGUAGUGACAAUAAAUCACAAUGCGGGACUUUUAGUUUUGCAAUUGGAUUGAGAACAAUGUAGAAGAGUUAUCGAUAAACAAUUGGAGGGCAAGUCUGGUGCCAGCAGCCGCGGUAAUCCAGCUCCAAUAGCCGAUA